AACUUUGCAUGCGCGAAAGCGCGACAAGGGGAUUCCAGUGCAUGCACUAAGUGUAUGCUUUUCGUGAGUGUAAAAAGCUCAUGGAAUAAGGGCUGGGUAAGACUGGUG
Molecule: ribosomal RNA, 108 nt
Filed under: uncultured archaeon
Lineage: Archaea
Description: partial 16S ribosomal RNA
Rfam family: Archaeal small subunit ribosomal RNA
Source: RNAcentral